CCUACGGGAGACAGCAGUGAGGAAUAUUGGUCAAUGGACGAGAGUCUGAACCAGCCAAGUAGCGUGAAGGAUGACGGCCCUAUGGGUUGUAAACUGCUUUUAUACGGGGAUAAAACGAUCCACGUGUGCCUUUCUGCAGGUACUUUCUGAAUAAGGACCGGCUAAUUCCGUGCCAGCAGCCGCGGUAAUACGGAGGAGCCGAGCGUUAUCCGGAUUUAUUGGGUUUAAAGGGAGCGUAGAUGGGUUGUUAAGUCAGUUGUGAAAGUCGCCGGCCCAAACGUCGAAUUGCAAUUGAUACUGGAAGUCUUGAGUACAGAUGAGGUAGGCGGAAUUCGUGGUGUAGCGGUGAAAUGCUUAGAUAUCACGAAGAACCCCGAUUGCGAAGGCAGCUUACGAAGGUGUGACUGACGUUGAGGCUCGAAAGUGUGGGUAUCAAACAGGAUUAGAUACCCCUGUAGUC
This 460-nucleotide ribosomal RNA is filed under the name uncultured bacterium. Its description in RNAcentral is "partial 16S ribosomal RNA". It matches the Rfam family "Bacterial small subunit ribosomal RNA", at positions 338 to 795 of the family's 1533-position model. The record is from RNAcentral.